Molecule: long non-coding RNA, 639 nt
Filed under: Eucalyptus grandis
Lineage: Eukaryota; Viridiplantae; Streptophyta; Magnoliopsida; Myrtales; Myrtaceae
Description: long non-coding RNA (EGRA_LNC004130)
Source: RNAcentral
UUUACAUUCAUGAGUGCUGUUGGCGCUUGUACCUUGCAUCAAAUUAUAUUAAAUGUUCCAUGAGGUUGCACUUCAGAGAGUUUAAACAGUCAAGAAGGAGAACCUAAUCACACGUGCACUUUUUACAUAAUACAGUAUAAUAGUUUAGGCUGCACAAAAUUAUAUCUUUACCCAUUCUAGGCCCGAUUUCCCAUCUGGUGUGUUGCUCUGUUGAAGUUCCAAGUAGUCCUUGUACUUCAUCUAGUUGUCCACGGCUCAGUUGUUCUCGCCAUCCACUAGCUGCUCCACUGGCAUGACAACAGUGUCCAGCGACGGUCCACUAGAUAGAGAGAUUGAUAGCCUUGUUCAUGACAGCUUGAUGCAGAAUGCUCUUGUACUUCCCAUUGCUCAUAACCUUUCGUGAAAAGUGUUAGAAAAAAGUUAGUUGCAAAUAAGCUUUAUGGUAAUGAGAAGAACUAUCUGUACCAUAGUUUACGUGUAAUAACAAUGUCCCUUCCAUAAAGACCUCUGUCGUAUCUGCAUCUAUAAACCAAGGCACACUUUACACUUCACACACCAAAAUUUGAAACAAAUUGGACCUCUCUUGCAAAAUUAAUGGGGGAGAUUUGAAAGAUGAAACAUUAAUUCCUACCUAUGUAC